GCGGACUUAGCUCAGCUGGCAGAGCGCGAGCUUCCCAAGCUCGAGGUCGCGGGUUCGAUCCCCGUAGUCCGCU
RNAcentral lists this transfer RNA (73 nucleotides) under Deltaproteobacteria bacterium. RNAcentral's name for it is "tRNA-Gly". It matches the Rfam family "tRNA". Rfam says of the family: Transfer RNA (tRNA) molecules are approximately 80 nucleotides in length. Their secondary structure includes four short double-helical elements and three loops (D, anti-codon, and T loops). Further hydrogen bonds mediate the characteristic L-shaped molecular structure. tRNAs have two regions of fundamental functional importance: the anti-codon, which is responsible for specific mRNA codon recognition, and the 3' end, to which the tRNAs corresponding amino acid is attached (by aminoacyl-tRNA synthetases). tRNAs cope with the degeneracy of the genetic code in two manners: having more than one tRNA (with a specific anti-codon) for a particular amino acid; and 'wobble' base-pairing, i.e. permitting non-standard base-pairing at the 3rd anti-codon position. Lineage: Bacteria; Pseudomonadati; Myxococcota; Myxococcia. The record is from RNAcentral.